AGCAUCUACAACGCACUCGUUAUUUCUGCUUCCUGCUUUCUCCCGGUUUUAUGCCACAGCUUCAUCUAGUGGGCAUGACGGAUCCUUGACUGCAUUUCCAGACCUUCUCUCCUCCCCUGAAAUCAGAGGGUGGGACUGAAAGUUCCAAUCAUCUAAUGAAGAGUCACUGAUGCCGAGGUUUACCAGCAUCACCGUUCUCAGUGCCACGAGCAGCGCAGCGAGGGUGAGGCAGCAUUUAAGGCCGCUCCGCCGUCUCCAGGAUGUUCAUCCAGGUUCCUGACGCCCAUUCUGCAAGUCCUGAUGCAUCAGCGACACCCACGCCCCGACUGCUGACUGGCCAACACGGCAUAGCCCAAUCUCAGAGUUGUUAAAACAUGGGGAAACAGUGUGUGCCAGAAGCAAUGAAAUACUCUUCUUCACUUUUAUUAGCUGGCCUGGAUGAGCCUAAAACGAGGCUGCCAAAACACUCCCUCUAAAUGGAAAUCUCGUCUCCUGUUUAAAACCCUUCAAUGGCUUCCAAACACUGACCAAAAGAACAAAGUCCAUACCCCUCUGCAUGGGAUACAAAACUCUUCACGACCUGUUUCUUUAAAAAAUUAUUAAUUAUUUUAAGCACACAAACAUGUAGAGAACAACAUAACAUAAAUAAUGUGGCACAAGCAACCAGAUUGGACAAAUAUGACUAAUGUUUGCACUUUGCCAUAUUUGCCUAGAAUAUUUGGUUUUUAAUCUAAAGGAAUAAGCUGUUCCCAGUGCGUCGAUGUUCUCUGUAUGCACUGCUCGUCCUAUUGUCCUCUUCUUCCCAGGGCCAAUCGCUCUCUGGAAGAUGUGACACGUCCCUUCCAUCCAUGUUUUACACUUGCACUUUAUCUGAACCCUUUCCUCCCUCCCUGUAAUAACACACUGGAUUGUUUCGUGUUUUUCACUUUUACAUAUAUUUUAUUAACUGUCUAAAUCCUCCAGCAAUGUGUGUUUCUCAUCAUUUUCCUGUUGGUGGGCACUAAUGUUUCCCAAUUUUUACCAUUUCAAACAAUAGGGCAAUUAACAUUUUGAGCAUGUCUCUUUGUGUAUGAUAGUGAGAGUUUCUCCACAGCAGCUUUGUUAGUAGAAAUAUAAUAAAGCCCCAAAUGAGAGUUAUAUAUGUAACAUAAAAUG
This is a long non-coding RNA of Physeter macrocephalus (sperm whale), 1155 nucleotides long. RefSeq lists it as uncharacterized. NCBI's taxonomy places the organism in Eukaryota, Metazoa, Chordata, Mammalia, Artiodactyla, Physeteridae. The transcript has 3 exons. The record is from RefSeq and is a predicted model, not a curated record.